GCGUGGAGGAAGAAGGUCUUCGGAUUGUAAACUCCUGUUGUUGAGGAAGAUAAUGACGGUACUCAACAAGGAAGUGACGGCUAACUACGUGCCAGCAGCCGCGGUAAAACGUAGGUCACAAGCGUUGUCCGGAAUUACUGGGUGUAAAGGGAGCGCAGGCGGGAGAACAAGUUGGAAGUGAAAUCCAUGGGCUCAACCCAUGAACUGCUUUCAAAACUGUUUUUCUUGAGUAGUGCAGAGGUAGGCGGAAUUCCCGGUGUAGCGGUGGAAUGCGUAGAUAUCGGGAGGAACACCAGUGGCGAAGGCGGCCUACUGGGCACCAACUGACGCUGAGGCUCGAAAGUGUGGGUAGCAAACAGGAUUAGAUACCCUGGUAAUCCACACCGUAAACGAUGAUUACUAGGUGUUGGAGGAUUGACCCCUUCAGUGCCGCAGUUAACACAAUAAGUAAUCCACCUGGGGAGUACGACCGCAAGG
RNAcentral lists this ribosomal RNA (477 nucleotides) under uncultured bacterium. RNAcentral's name for it is "bacterial SSU rRNA". It matches the Rfam family "Bacterial small subunit ribosomal RNA", at positions 399 to 893 of the family's 1533-position model. The record is from RNAcentral.